This 467-nucleotide ribosomal RNA is filed under the name uncultured bacterium. RNAcentral describes it as "bacterial SSU rRNA". It matches the Rfam family "Bacterial small subunit ribosomal RNA", at positions 33 to 507 of the family's 1533-position model. The record is from RNAcentral.
GACACGCUGGCGGCGUGCCUGACACAUGCAAGUCGGACGGUUCUUGCACCUUCAAGCUUGCUUGUUGGUUCAAGGAUAGUGGCGGACGGGUGAGUAACGCGUGAACACCUACCCAUUGGAGGGGUACAACCCGUCGAAAGGCGGGCUAAUACCGCGUAAGCCGUGAGGUGAAAGGCUGCUCUUUGGUGGCUGCCGAUGGAUGGGUUCGCGUCCUAUCAGCUGGUUGGUGGGGUAACGGCCUACCAAGGCUAAGACGGGUAGCCGGUCUGAGAGGAUGGCCGGCCACACUGGAACUGAGACACGGUCCAGACUCCUACGGGAGGCAGCAGUGGGGAAUCUUGGGCAAUGGGGGAGACCCUGACCCAGCGACGCCGCGUGAGGGAUGAAGGUUUUCGGAUCGUAAACCUCUGUUGUACGGGAAGAAGGAUGUGACGGUACCGUACGAGUAAGCCCCGGCAAACUACGUG